RNAcentral lists this ribosomal RNA (496 nucleotides) under uncultured bacterium. RNAcentral describes it as "partial 16S ribosomal RNA". It matches the Rfam family "Bacterial small subunit ribosomal RNA", at positions 28 to 506 of the family's 1533-position model. The record is from RNAcentral.
GAUGAACGCUGGCGGCGUGCCUAAUACAUGCAAGUCGAGCGAACGGACGAGAAGCUUGCUUCUCUGAUGUUAGCGGCGGACGGGUGAGUAACACGUGGAUAACCUACCUAUAAGACUGGGAUAACUUCGGGAAACCGGAGCUAAUACCGGAUAAUAUUUUGAACCGCAUGGUUCAAAAGUAAAAGACGGUCUUGCUGUCACUUAUAGAUGGAUCCGCGCUGCAUUAGCUAGUUGGUAAGGUAACGGCUUACCAAGGCAACGAUGCAUAGCCGACCUGAGAGGGUGAUCGGCCACACUGGAACUGAGACACGGUCCAGACUCCUACGGGAGGCAGCAGUAGGGAAUCUUCCGCAGUGGGCGAAAGCCUGACGGAGCAACGCCGCGUGAGUGAUGAAGGUCUUCGGAUCGUAAAACUCUGUUAUUAGGGAAGAACAUAUGUGUAAGUAACUGUGCACAUCUUGACGGUACCUAAUCAGAAAGCCACGGCUAACUACGU